UUUGCCUACGGGAGGCAGCAGUGGGGAAUAUUGCACAAUGGGGGAAACCCUGAUGCAGCGACGCCGCGUGAGUGAAGAAGUAUUUCGGUACGUAAAGCUCUAUCAGCAGGGAAGAAAAUGACGGUACCUGACUAAGAAGCCCCGGCUAACUACGUGCCGGCAGCCGCGGUAAUACGUAGGGGGCAAGCGUUAUCCGGAUUUACUGGGUGGAAAGGGAGCGGAGACGGCAGCGCAAGUAUGGAGUGAAA
This 248-nucleotide ribosomal RNA is filed under the name uncultured bacterium. RNAcentral describes it as "partial 16S ribosomal RNA". It matches the Rfam family "Bacterial small subunit ribosomal RNA", at positions 334 to 599 of the family's 1533-position model. The record is from RNAcentral.